CGAGGUCCUCUGCCGCGUGUUUGGAAGUUAUGGCCGCGCCGGUCCGUGGUGCUCUCCCUGAAAGGCCUAGGCUUUGGGUGAUGGCAUUGCCUUUUGGCACUCGGGAGACAAGACGCAGGUUCCAUCUCAGAAGUAAUGGCUGGAUCCCUGAAAGCCAACGGGCUCGGUGUGGUCACCCGUCAGAAGGCAUAGGUAGAUGGUGGGCAUCUGCCUCAGACAUAGAGUUCUCAAGUUCAGCCAGAAGAAUGCGCGUUGAGCCCUCCGCAGCCCGUGUCGACGGAGGUGUUGUCUCCAGGAAGCAUCAUGGAAAGGCGUGGUGCACAAGGGCCUUCAGGAUGCCCGUGCCUGGUGUCGGCUGCACCCCAGUUUCUGGGCCUGACUCAGAAGGAUGCCUGUGAGCAGAAGAGCUGGCACGUGCAGCUCGGUGGAGCAUCAGUGCCAACCAGUCCAGUACCCUGGCUGAGGGGUGUGCUAAG
Molecule: long non-coding RNA, 476 nt
Organism: Mus caroli (Ryukyu mouse)
Lineage: Eukaryota; Metazoa; Chordata; Mammalia; Rodentia; Muridae
Source: RefSeq, a predicted model, not a curated record